AAACUAACCAAGGAUUCCCCUAGUAACGGCGAGUGAAGUGGGAAAAGCUCAAUUUUGUAAUCUGGCUGUUUCACAGUCCGAGUUGUAGCCUCGAGAAGCAUUAUCCGCGCCGGACCUUGGCCAUGUCUGUUGGAAUACAGUGUCAAAGAGGGUGAGAAUCCCGUACAUACCAAGGACGCCCGUGUGCAUUGUGAUACGCUUUCAAAGAGUCGAGUUGUUUGGGAAUGCAGCUCAAAUCGGGUGGUAAAUUCCAUCUAAAGCUAAAUAUUGGCGAGAGACCGAUAGCGAACAAGUACCGUGAGGGAAAGAUGAAAAGCACUUUGGAAAGAGAAUGAAACAGUAUGUGAAAUUGCUGGAAGGGAAACGUUUGAAGUUAGACUUGCUUUUGCGGCAUUCAGCCUUCGGGUGUAUUUGCUGCUUGACGCAGGCCAGCAUCGGUUUAGAUCGCUGUAAAAGGGUGCGCGGAACGUAGCUAGCCUUCGGGUUAGUGUUAUAGCCACGCACUGGAUGCAGAGCCCUAGACCGAGGAACGCAGCGCGCCAGCAUGGCAAGGUCUCCGGACCUCGAGCGCUUAGGAUGCUGGUGGAAUAGCUUUAACCGAACCCGUCUUGAAACACGGACC
RNAcentral lists this ribosomal RNA (622 nucleotides) under Ruinenia bangxiensis. RNAcentral describes it as "partial 26S ribosomal RNA". It matches the Rfam family "Eukaryotic large subunit ribosomal RNA", at positions 62 to 667 of the family's 3401-position model. Lineage: Eukaryota; Fungi; Basidiomycota; Agaricostilbomycetes; Agaricostilbales; Ruineniaceae. The record is from RNAcentral.